UCAUUGAAGUUUUUUAAAUCA
Molecule: non-coding RNA, 21 nt
Filed under: Caenorhabditis elegans
Lineage: Eukaryota; Metazoa; Nematoda; Chromadorea; Rhabditida; Rhabditidae
Source: RNAcentral